GUCUACGGCCAUGUCACCCUGAACAUGCCCCAUCUUGUCCAAUCUCGGAAGCUAAGCAGGGUCAGGCCUGGUUAGUACUUGGACAGGGGACCACCUAGGAAGACCGGGUGCUGUAGGCG
RNAcentral lists this ribosomal RNA (119 nucleotides) under Pteropus alecto (black flying fox). The record is from RNAcentral. Lineage: Eukaryota; Metazoa; Chordata; Mammalia; Chiroptera; Pteropodidae.